UGCGUAGGCGGUUUAUUAAGUUAGUGGUUAAAUAUUUGAGCUAAACUCAAUUGUGCCAUUAAUACUGGUAAACUGGAGUACAGACGAGGUAGGCGGAAUAAGUUAAGUAGCGGUGAAAUGCAUAGAUAUAACUUAGAACUCCGAUAGCGAAGGCAGCUUACCAGACUGAAACUGACGCUGAUGCACGAGAGCGUGGGUAGCGAACA
RNAcentral lists this ribosomal RNA (206 nucleotides) under uncultured bacterium. RNAcentral's name for it is "partial 16S ribosomal RNA". It matches the Rfam family "Bacterial small subunit ribosomal RNA", at positions 568 to 774 of the family's 1533-position model. The record is from RNAcentral.